AAAACAUGGCCUCCUGGUUGUAUAAGUAUAGGAGGUUUGGCCUGCCCGGUGGGGGAGACCCUAAACGGUCGCAGCUGCCACUGUGCGAAGGUAGCGUAAUAGGUCGUCCUUUAAUUGAGGGAAAGUAUGAAUGGUCGGAUGUUGGAAAAGCUUUAUUAGAAGUAGUUGUUGAAUUUUACUUUUUAGUGCAAAGGCUGAAAUAAUAUUAUUAGACGAGAAGACCCUGUUGAGCUUGUUUAGCUUAUAGCCAUUGGGGCUAUAGUGAUGUUUUUUCGGGGCUGAAAGGGGGGGAGUAAAAAUGCCCUCCAUUUUAUUAUAAGGAUCCAGUAUGGCUGAUAAGUGGAAGAUAGUUACCACAGGGAUAACAGCGCAAUCUUCCUGAUAAGGCCGUAUUUAAAGGAUGGUUUGCGACCUCGAUGUUGAAUCAAAAUUUCUGCUGGGUGUAGCAGCUUGGCUAGUGGGACUGUUCGUCCCUUAAAAUUUUACGUGAUCUGAGUUCAGACCGGA
RNAcentral lists this ribosomal RNA (507 nucleotides) under Exotica tokubeii. RNAcentral describes it as "partial 16S ribosomal RNA". It matches the Rfam family "Bacterial large subunit ribosomal RNA", at positions 1810 to 2620 of the family's 2925-position model. The record is from RNAcentral. Lineage: Eukaryota; Metazoa; Mollusca; Bivalvia; Cardiida; Tellinidae.